This 484-nucleotide ribosomal RNA is filed under the name uncultured bacterium. Its description in RNAcentral is "bacterial SSU rRNA". It matches the Rfam family "Bacterial small subunit ribosomal RNA", at positions 29 to 508 of the family's 1533-position model. The record is from RNAcentral.
AUGAACGCUAGCGGCAGGCUUAAUACAUGCAAGUCGUGGGGCAGCAGGGGUAGCAAUACCCGCUGGCGACCGGCAAACGGGUGAGGAACAUGUACGCAACCUACCUUUAACUGGAGGAUAGCCCCUCGAAAGAGGGAUUAAUACUCCGUAACAUAAUGAAGUGGCAUCGCUUUAUUAUUAUAGCUCCGGCGGUUAAAGAUGGGCGUGCAGCUGAUUAGGCAGUUGGCGGGGUAACGGCCCACCAAACCUACGAUCAGUAACUGGUGUGAGAGCACGACCAGUCACACGGGCACUGAGACACGGGCCCGACUCCUACGGGAGGCAGCAGUAAGGAAUAUUGGUCAAUGGAGGCAACUCUGAACCAGCCAUGCCGCGUGAAGGAGUAAGGCCCUCUGGGUUGUAAACUUCUUUUAUAUGGGAAGAAAUGUUCUGAUUCUUCAGAGCUUGACGGUACCAUAGGAAUAAGCACCGGCUAACUCCGUGC